Long non-coding RNA from Juglans microcarpa x Juglans regia, 228 nucleotides. RefSeq lists it as uncharacterized. The transcript is spliced from 3 exons. The record is from RefSeq and is a predicted model, not a curated record. NCBI's taxonomy places the organism in Eukaryota, Viridiplantae, Streptophyta, Magnoliopsida, Fagales, Juglandaceae.
CUUGCAAGGCGCUCUAGGAACUCUGAAUAGUUCUUUGAACAAUGCGUUACAUUUACGUACCAUCAAUGCUAAUAUUGAGAUGUUUGGCACGCUGAAAGAAAUAACUUAUUAGUCCUUCUACUCUAGGCAUUAUUUUUUUAAAAAAAAAAUAAUAAUAAUUAAGAAAUACUCAUGGUAACCAUCCGAGCAGAUAAAAUUAGUAAUAUUAUUCGUGAACGUAUUGAGCAA